Long non-coding RNA from Orbicella faveolata, 652 nucleotides. Lineage: Eukaryota; Metazoa; Cnidaria; Anthozoa; Scleractinia; Merulinidae. The record is from RefSeq and is a predicted model, not a curated record.
CACUAUUUUAGAGUGGUCCGUAGAGGGGGUCCGUAGGGGUAGUCCAUGGACCGGUCCGUAGGGUAGUCCACGGACCCUGGUCCGUUGUGGGGGUCCGCGAACCGGGGUCAGUGUUUUCCGGUUACCCCUUGCUGGGCUAACUCUUUUACACUUCAUCCUCUCUUAUGCACUUUUUAUGUAAGCUUGGUUAGGAUGAUGAUUAAUCCACGGUUCAGAAGUCCAUUCCAGAUUGUAUCGGCUGGAGUGCGCUAAGCCUUCUGGGACAUUCUUGAGGUUGAUUCAUGCUUAGGUUGCAACUUGAGUUGGGAUGAAUGGUACCUCGUUGUAGACACCAUUUUCCUUUCUAAAGGAGCGAAAUUCAGGAACAAUCAAGUUAUUUUUCUGCGUGGUCCCAGACCGUGGGAUUUCGAGUCAAGAUGUGAUGUUUCAUCGACUUAUUCUUAUUUCAGGUCUCAAGGUGUGGAUGUCCAAGUCAGGAUGUGAAUAUUAACAUGUUGCCACUAAUUUCUGCAGACACAGAGAGGGACACUAAAGUACUCACAAUCAGGUUUCUUGGGGAGGAUGGUAAGGUACUGUAUGGAGAUUCAUGUAAACCUAUCUGAAGUGUACUUUGGAUUAAGAUGGCAGCUGCUGCACCUUCACCCUUGGCCAG